RNAcentral lists this ribosomal RNA (543 nucleotides) under uncultured bacterium. Its description in RNAcentral is "partial 16S ribosomal RNA". It matches the Rfam family "Bacterial small subunit ribosomal RNA", at positions 355 to 914 of the family's 1533-position model. The record is from RNAcentral.
UGGGGAAUAUUGGACAAUGGGGGCAACCCUGAUCCAGCCAUGCCGCGUGAGUGAUGAAGGCCUUCGGGUUGUAAAGCUCUUUUGGCGGGGACGAUGAUGACGGUACCCGCAGAAUAAGCCCCGGCUAACUUCGUGCCAGCAGCCGCGGUAAGACGAAGGGGGCUAGCGUUGUUCGGAAUUACUGGGCGUAAAGCGAGUGUAGGCGGUUGCCGUAGUCAGGUGUGAAAGCCUUGAGCUCAACUCAAGAAAUGCACUUGAUACUGGGUGACUAGAGGACCGGAGAGGAUAGUGGAAUUCCCAGUGUAGUGGUGAAAUACGUAGAGAUUGGGAAGAACACCAGUGGCGAAGGCGGCUAUCUGGACGGUUACUGACGCUAAGACUCGAAAGCGUGGGGAGCAAACAGGAUUAGAUACCCUGGUAGUCCACGCUGUAAACGAUGUCGAUUUUGGAGGUUGUGCCCUUGAGGCGUGGCUUCCGGAGCUAACGCGUUAAAUCGACCGCCUGGGGAGUACGGCCNCAAGGUUAAAACUUAAAGGAAUUGAC